This 405-nucleotide ribosomal RNA is filed under the name uncultured bacterium. Its description in RNAcentral is "partial 16S ribosomal RNA". It matches the Rfam family "Bacterial small subunit ribosomal RNA", at positions 28 to 526 of the family's 1533-position model. The record is from RNAcentral.
GACGAACGCUGGCGGCGUGCUUAACACAUGCAAGUCGAGCGGAGCGGCGAACGGGUGAGUAACGCGUGAGUAACUGCCCCCCUCUCUGGGAUAACAGUUGGAAACGGCUGCUAAUACCGGAUAGUGGGGGAUGACUCGCGUCCUAUCAGCUUGUCUGUGGGGUAGUGGCUUACCAAGGCGACGACGGGCAGCCGGCCUGAGAGGGCGACCGGCCACAUUGGGCUGAGGUACGGACCAUACUCCUACGGGGGGCAGUGGGGGGGAGUCUUGCACAAUGGGGGGAACCCUGAUGCAGCAGCGCCGCGUGCUGGAUGACGGCCUUCGGGUUGUAAACCUCUUUCAGCCAUGACGCGGUAGUGGCAGAAGAAGCACCGGCUAACUACGUGCCAGCCGCCGCGGUAAUUC